CUCGUCCCUUCGUCGAGAAAGGGAGACGGCCACCGGCCCCUCCCGCCACUCUCCUUUCCUGCUCGCCGUUGCCGUCGGAACUUCGAGGAAGCGAGCCAAGACUUCUUUCCCUCUUUCUCUCUCUCGUUCCCGUCUCCACCCGUUCGUCUCCAUUGAGAUUCGUGUCGGAUCCGGGUUUGAGAUGUAGGAGACGCAGUGCGAAGAUGCAUUGCCGGCGUUGGUGAUGCCUCAUGGCGGUCGCCUGAGGUGGGUUCCGGUCUCCAGGGUUCCCGUCUUCGAUCUCUCAGGUGAUAGACGAUUCCUUGCUUGCUGUCUGGUGGGCAAAGGCUUGAUGGAACCGAUCCGUGAUUUGGUGGGUUCUUGAUUCUUGAUGGCGAUGCAAGUCAUGGCGAGUGAUGAGGUACUUCUUGCGCCAAAUUGAGCGUCUGGUCGGAGACAUGGAAGGAGGAGUCUUGCUUUUCGUGGAUGACUUGAAGUCCAGCUGAUCCACGUCGUGCCCCUUUUUCUGCCCUCGGCUUCUUGGAUUUGAGAUUAGAGCAUGGAAGGGAGUUCUUCCGGAGAAGAGCUGGUCGUCGUGAAGACAAGGAAGCCUUAUACCAUUACAAAGCAAAGGGAGAGGUGGACUGAGGAGCACAGCCGCUUUCUCGAAGCGCUGAAGCUCUACGGCAGGGCCUGGCAGCGCAUUGAAGAGCAUAUUGAUACUAAAGACGGCCGUGCAAAUUAGAAGCCAUGCACAAAAGUUCUUCACCAAGGUCAGUUUUCUUUUGUUUGUAGAAAUCCAGGUAUGGAGCUCUACCAACUCUAUGUGCUUGAUGCUUGAAUCAACUUAUUGGAUUUCCUUUUAAUGUUUUA
Molecule: long non-coding RNA, 852 nt
Organism: Musa acuminata AAA Group (dessert banana)
Lineage: Eukaryota; Viridiplantae; Streptophyta; Magnoliopsida; Zingiberales; Musaceae
Exons: 3
Source: RefSeq, a predicted model, not a curated record